This 464-nucleotide ribosomal RNA is filed under the name uncultured bacterium. RNAcentral describes it as "partial 16S ribosomal RNA". It matches the Rfam family "Bacterial small subunit ribosomal RNA", at positions 28 to 507 of the family's 1533-position model. The record is from RNAcentral.
GACGAACGCUGGCGGCGUGCUUAACACAUGCCAGUCGAACGGAAAGGCCCUGCUUUCGGGGGACGCGCGAGGGGCGAACGGGUGUGACACACGGGAGUAACGUGCUCCACUCCUUGGUAAAACUGCGGGAAACUGGGGAUAAUACGGGAUGGGCGCUCCUGCGGCAUGGGGGGGGUAGGUUUCUUUGGUUGGGUGUGGGUGCGCGGCCGAUCAGCUAGUUGGUGGGGUAGGGGCUUACUAAGGCGGGGUGGGGCAGCUGGCCUGGGGGGGUGGCCGGCCACAUUGGGACUGAGAUACGCCCCGGACCCCUACGGAGGCCAGCGGGGGGGAAUAUUGAACAAUGGGCGGAGGCCGGAGGAAGCAACGCGGCGUGGGGAAUGACGGCCUUCGGUUUGUAAACCGCUUCCGCAUGUGUCGAGGCGUGUGUGACGGUAAUGAGUAAAGAAGCACCGGCUAACUACGUG